Molecule: non-coding RNA, 1754 nt
Organism: Prunus avium (sweet cherry)
Lineage: Eukaryota; Viridiplantae; Streptophyta; Magnoliopsida; Rosales; Rosaceae
Source: RefSeq, a predicted model, not a curated record
AAACAAAGCCCAUUUUUUAAGCCCAUUUCUCCCCGUCUCUCUCAAGCUCGACAUCAGAAGCCUCCUCUCUGAAGCUCUUGCUCUCCAGUGGCUCUAAACUUCUCUCACGUCUUUCAUCUUCUUCUUCACUCUCUCUGAAUCGCACAUUGCAAAUCUCCAAUCUCGAAUCGCUUUCGCAACUCAAAGAUCCUAUAUGAUUUCUCAAAAUCGGAAUAGAAAUUUCAGUGGUAAUCUUCAUCUCUCUCCCCCUCUCUCUCUUUCUGGCUUUCUUCUUCUCCUAUUUCAUCUGUGCUCUGUGUUUUUGGUUCUCGAGAACCCAUGGAAAAAUGUGAAAGAAUUUCAUCAACUCAUAUACUUUCGCAACCGUGAUUUGCUCGACUAUCGCCGACCCUUACCGAGACUGCUGGAGCCAUCAUCGAUGAGUAUGUUGUUGAGCUGAGGUAUGCAUGGGAAGGGAAAGCAGUGCACUCAAGUUAAUAUCCAUAUUGGAUAGCUAUUAGAAGCAGCAGUCAUUUUAAAAUUUUAUUUGAAAACAGAGUGUGAGAAAACAUAUAAAGUGAGAAUACGAAGGAUCUGCUGAUUGUGGCUUCAUUUAUACAUUUGGAGCAUAAAGAACAUGUGAAGUAUACCUCAGAGUUGACUACUGUGAACCCUCACAUUUUGCUCUCUGGUCCUGCACCUAUGGAUAUAGCUGUGUUCAUUCUAAAAUAAUUCGUUUAUGAUAUUUGGUUUUUGUUCUGAAUGCUUUUGCAGGGUCUGAGAUAUAUCAGGAGAUGCUGGCAAAGGCCCUUGCACAAUAUUUUGGGGCUAAGUUGCUCAUAUUUGAUAGCCACUCUUUUUUUUUUUUUUGGUGUGGUUACAUUGGAGGAAAGAAACCCCACUGGGGUUCGAUCCUGGGUGCCAUGGGGGGAGGGGGAAUCCACCACCACUGUGGUGGGAACCCAUUGUCAUAGCCACUCAUUUUUGGGUGUUGUUCCCAAGACGGGAGAUGACAAACGUUGUUUCCAACAUGAUCCUGCUAAGCCAUAUUUAGGACCUGAUUUCAGGAUUAUUCCUCUGCUGUUUGGAGGGAUUGAAUGUGGAUUAUUAUAAGAACGCUUUCCUUUUCCCUUUUUACAUUUUGUGUUCAUAUCUAAAAAAUGAGAGAUGGUUUUGUGUGUUUUCAGGCUCCGUUGCGAGGUUUAUGAGUUAGUUUCUUUUUUUCGUUGGUUGUAUGAGUUUGCUGUUUUGGGCUUAGAUUUGAGGUCAUCAUUGUUCAGGUCAGCAACUCUGUGUCUUUUGGCCAGGCAGAUUUAGGCAUUGUUUUGGUUUUAUAUGAUAGAUUUGCAAGGCAUUUUGUUGUUCCAAUUGCUAUUGCUUCAUGGUAUGUGACUAGAUUUAUGGUUUGUAACUUGUGAGGUUUAUUCUAUACCAUUGAUGUCAACCCUUAUUGUGAUCCGGCGCGUAAAUUAGUGGACAACAAGUAUUGAACCAUCGGUUUUCCAUUCGUGCCAGCGAAUGGAGAAGUGAACACAAGACCAUUUGAGUUUUUGACAGAGAGGGUGAUGGAUUUGGAUGGUUUUUUUCACAUACAUAGAUGGCCACAAGGCUGUGAAGUUUCCUGUCAAUUUGAGGAUUGGAAGAGUAGGGAAUUAAUUAAUGUUGGCAUUAUUUUUGAAAAGCCUCGAAGAUUGAAAAGUAUUGUAGCUUGGAAAUAAUUUGUGGGCAUCCAUGGACAUGGUUGGAGAAUAAUGUGAUGUGCUCUUCCUAAACAA